RNAcentral lists this ribosomal RNA (253 nucleotides) under uncultured bacterium. Its description in RNAcentral is "partial 16S ribosomal RNA". It matches the Rfam family "Bacterial small subunit ribosomal RNA", at positions 524 to 776 of the family's 1533-position model. The record is from RNAcentral.
AACGUAGGACGCAAGCGUUAUCCGGAGUUACUGGGCGUAAAGCGCGGGCAGGCGGCGCCGCACAGGGGACGUGAAAGCGCCCGGCUCAACCGGGCGAGGCCGUUCCCGAUGGCGGUGCUGGAGGGCAGGAGAGGGACGUGGAAUUCCGGGUGGAGUGGUGAAAUGCGUAGAGAUCCGGAGGAACACCAGAGGCGAAGGCGGCGUCCUGGUCUGCACCUGACGCUGAACCGCGACAGCCAGGGGAGCGAACGGG